This 432-nucleotide ribosomal RNA is filed under the name uncultured bacterium. Its description in RNAcentral is "bacterial SSU rRNA". It matches the Rfam family "Bacterial small subunit ribosomal RNA", at positions 96 to 524 of the family's 1533-position model. The record is from RNAcentral.
UGGCGGACGGGUGAGUAAUACUUAGGAAUCUGCCCAGUAGUGGGGGACAACCAGGAGAAAUCCUGGCUAAUACCGCAUACGCCCUACGGGGGAAAGCGGGGGAUCUUCGGACCUCGCGCUAUUGGAUGAGCCUAAGUCGGAUUAGCUUGUUGGUGGGGUAACGGCCUACCAAGGCGACGAUCCGUAGCUGGUCUGAGAGGACGAUCAGCCACACUGGGACUGAGACACGGCCCAGACUCCUACGGGAGGCAGCAGUGGGGAAUAUUGGACAAUGGGGGCAACCCUGAUCCAGCAAUGCCGCGUGUGUGAAGAAGGCCUGCGGGUUGUAAAGCACUUUCAGUAGAGAAGAAAAGCCUAGGGUUAAUAACCCUGAGUCUUGACGUAACCUACAGAAGAAGCACCGGCUAACUCCGUGCCAGCAGCCGCGGUAAU